Molecule: ribosomal RNA, 839 nt
Filed under: uncultured Alphaproteobacteria bacterium
Lineage: Bacteria; Pseudomonadati; Pseudomonadota; Alphaproteobacteria
Description: bacterial SSU rRNA
Rfam family: Bacterial small subunit ribosomal RNA
Source: RNAcentral
AACGUACGCUGGCGGCACGCCUAACACAUGCAAGUCGAACGCAGUAGCAAUACUGAGUGGCAAACGGGUGAGUAUAAUGUGGGAAUCUGCCUUUUGGUUUGGAAUAACACGGGGAAACUUGUGCUAAUACCGAAUAAGCCCUUACGGGGAAAGUUUUAAUGCCGAACGAUGAGCCCGCACUUGAUUAGCUAGUUGGUAAGGUAAAAGCUUACCAAGGCAACGAUCAAUAGCUGUUCUUAGAGGAAGACCAGCCACAUUGGGACUGAGACACGGCCCAGACUCCUACGGGAGGCAGCAGUGGGGAAUCUUGCACAAUGGGGGAAACCCUGAUGCAGCGAUGCCGCGUGAGUGAAGAAGGCCCUUGGGUUGUAAAACUCUUUCGUCGGGGAAGAAAAUGACUGUACCCGAAUAAGAAGGUCCGGCUAACUUCGUGCCAGCAGCCGCGGUAAUACGAAGGGACCUAGCGUAGUUCGGAAUUACUGGGCUUAAAGAGCUCGUAGGUGGUUAAAAAAGUUGAUGGUGAAAUCCCAAGGCUCAACCUUGGAACUGCCAUCAAAACUUUUUAGCUAGAGUGUGAUAGAGGUAAGUGGAAUUUCUAGUGUAGAGGUGAAAUUCGUAGAUAUUAGAAAGAACACCAAAUGCGAAGGCAACUUACUGGGUCACUACUGACACUGAGGAGCGAAAGCAUGGGUAGCGAAGAGGAUUAGAUACCCUCGUAGUCCAUGCCGUAAACGAUGUGUGCUAGACGUUGGAAAUAUAUUUUUCAGUGUCGCAGCGAAAGCAUUAAGCACACCGCCUGGGGAGUACGACCGCAAGGUUAAAACUCAAAUGAAUUGACG